UACGGAGGGUGCAAGCGUUAUCCGGAUUCACUGGGUUUAAAGGGUGCGUAGGCGGGUAGAUAAGUCAGUGGUGAAAUCUCGGAGCUUAACUCCGAAACUGCCAUUGAUACUAUUUAUCUUGAAUAUUGUGGAGGUUUGCGGAAUAUGUCAUGUAGCGGUGAAAUGCUUAGAUAUGACGUAGAACACCUAUUGCGAAGGCAGCAGGCUACACAUAUAUUGACGCUGAGGCACGAAAGCGUGGGGAUCAAACAGGAUUAGAUACCCUGGUAGUCCACGCCCUAAACGAUGAUUACUCGACAUACGCGAUACACUGUGUGUGUCUGAGCGAAAGCAUUAAGUAAUCCACCUGGGAAGUACGUCCGCAAGGAUGAA
Molecule: ribosomal RNA, 372 nt
Filed under: uncultured bacterium
Lineage: Bacteria
Description: bacterial SSU rRNA
Rfam family: Bacterial small subunit ribosomal RNA
Source: RNAcentral